UGAACUNGCGGAAGGAUCAUUG
Molecule: ribosomal RNA, 22 nt
Filed under: Leochilus inconspicuus
Lineage: Eukaryota; Viridiplantae; Streptophyta; Magnoliopsida; Asparagales; Orchidaceae
Description: partial 18S ribosomal RNA
Source: RNAcentral